RNAcentral lists this ribosomal RNA (1510 nucleotides) under Lactiplantibacillus plantarum. RNAcentral's name for it is "partial 16S ribosomal RNA". It matches the Rfam family "Bacterial small subunit ribosomal RNA". Lineage: Bacteria; Bacillati; Bacillota; Bacilli; Lactobacillales; Lactobacillaceae. The record is from RNAcentral.
AGAGAUUUGAUCCUGGCUCAGGACGAACGCUGGCGGCGUGCCUAAUACAUGCAAGUCGAACGAACUCUGGUAUUGAUUGGUGCUUGCAUCAUGAUUUACAUUUGAGUGAGUGGCGAACUGGUGAGUAACACGUGGGAAACCUGCCCAGAAGCGGGGGAUAACACCUGGAAACAGAUGCUAAUACCGCAUAACAACUUGGACCGCAUGGUCCGAGUUUGAAAGAUGGCUUCGGCUAUCACUUUUGGAUGGUCCCGCGGCGUAUUAGCUAGAUGGUGGGGUAACGGCUCACCAUGGCAAUGAUACGUAGCCGACCUGAGAGGGUAAUCGGCCACAUUGGGACUGAGACACGGCCCAAACUCCUACGGGAGGCAGCAGUAGGGAAUCUUCCACAAUGGACGAAAGUCUGAUGGAGCAACGCCGCGUGAGUGAAGAAGGGUUUCGGCUCGUAAAACUCUGUUGUUGAAGAAGAACAUAUCUGAGAGUAACUGUUCAGGUAUUGACGGUAUUUAACCAGAAAGCCACGGCUAACUACGUGCCAGCAGCCGCGGUAAUACGUAGGUGGCAAGCGUUGUCCGGAUUUAUUGGGCGUAAAGAGAGCGCAGGCGGUUUUUUAAGUCUGAUGUGAAAGCCUUCGGCUCAACCGAAGAAGUGCAUCGGAAACUGGGAAACUUGAGUGCAGAAGAGGACAGUGGAACUCCAUGUGUAGCGGUGAAAUGCGUAGAUAUAUGGAAGAACACCAGUGGCGAAGGCGGCUGUCUGGUCUGUAACUGACGCUGAGGCUCGAAAGUAUGGGUAGCAAACAGGAUUAGAUACCCUGGUAGUCCAUACCGUAAACGAUGAAUGCUAAGUGUUGGAGGGUUUCCGCCCUUCAGUGCUGCAGCUAACGCAUUAAGCAUUCCGCCUGGGGAGUACGGCCGCAAGGCUGAAACUCAAAGGAAUUGACGGGGGCCCGCACAAGCGGUGGAGCAUGUGGUUUAAUUCGAAGCUACGCGAAGAACCUUACCAGGUCUUGACAUACUAUGCAAAUCUAAGAGAUUAGACGUUCCCUUCGGGGACAUGGAUACAGGUGGUGCAUGGUUGUCGUCAGCUCGUGUCGUGAGAUGUUGGGUUAAGUCCCGCAACGAGCGCAACCCUUAUUAUCAGUUGCCAGCAUUAAGUUGGGCACUCUGGUGAGACUGCCGGUGACAAACCGGAGGAAGGUGGGGAUGACGUCAAAUCAUCAUGCCCCUUAUGACCUGGGCUACACACGUGCUACAAUGGAUGGUACAACGAGUUGCGAACUCGCGAGAGUAAGCUAAUCUCUUAAAGCCAUUCUCAGUUCGGAUUGUAGGCUGCAACUCGCCUACAUGAAGUCGGAAUCGCUAGUAAUCGCGGAUCAGCAUGCCGCGGUGAAUACGUUCCCGGGCCUUGUACACACCGCCCGUCACACCAUGAGAGUUUGUAACACCCAAAGUCGGUGGGGUAACCUUUUAGGAACCAGCCGCCUAAGGUGGGACAGAUGAUUAGGGUG